GAUAAGACCUGUGAUAUUCUAAAACACAUCUUCUGAAUGCAACCCAGACAC
RNAcentral lists this transfer RNA (51 nucleotides) under Leiocephalus barahonensis. RNAcentral describes it as "partial tRNA-Ala". The record is from RNAcentral. Lineage: Eukaryota; Metazoa; Chordata; Lepidosauria; Squamata; Leiocephalidae.